RNAcentral lists this non-coding RNA (198 nucleotides) under Alitibacter langaaensis DSM 22999. Its description in RNAcentral is "Pasteurella langaaensis DSM 22999 GcvB RNA". It matches the Rfam family "GcvB RNA". From Rfam's summary of the family: The gcvB gene encodes a small untranslated RNA involved in expression of the dipeptide and oligopeptide transport systems in Escherichia coli. Lineage: Bacteria; Pseudomonadati; Pseudomonadota; Gammaproteobacteria; Pasteurellales; Pasteurellaceae. The record is from RNAcentral.
UCGUACUUAUUUAAUGAUUGAUCAUGCCUUAGCAAUGAAGUGUUUAAUCUUUUAGUUAAGUAUUAUGUUGUGUUUGCAUAUUGUUUGGGAAACCAAACAGCGUUAUUUAUUUUCCUUAAUAGAUAACGAUUUAACUUCCUGUAUAUUUUGACCUGAUUUAGGUUUAGACACCGCGCUUUAUGUGCGGUGUUUUUUUAU